UAGAUCGGAUGUGGUUGGAUUUUGCCAUUGAUAUAUUUUCUCGAAUGGAAACUCAACCUUUGUUUGUGUUGGCUAGAAUAAGCUCUAGACUUGGCUAUAUAUAUUGGUAGAUGGGAAGGCUCGGAACAAAAGAUGUGGAUCUCCCUUCAAAUGCAUUAAUAAAGGCACUAGAAGAUUUUUACCCCAUAGC
Long non-coding RNA from Ipomoea triloba (trilobed morning glory), 190 nucleotides. RefSeq lists it as uncharacterized. The transcript has 3 exons. Lineage: Eukaryota; Viridiplantae; Streptophyta; Magnoliopsida; Solanales; Convolvulaceae. The record is from RefSeq and is a predicted model, not a curated record.